GAUGAACGCUGGCGGCGUGCCUAAUACAUGCAAGUCGAACGCAUUGAGAGAAGUGCUUGCACUUUUCAAUUUGAGUGGCGAACGGGUGAGUAACACGUGGGCAACCUACCUGAUAGCGGGGGAUAACGAGUGGAAACAUUCGCUAAUACCGCAUAACAAUAGAGAAGGUAUCUUCUUUAUUUAAAAGGCGCUUUCAAGCGUCACUAUCAGAUGGGCCCGCGGUGCAUUAGUUAGUUGGUGGGGUGAAGGCCUACCAAGACGAUGAUGCAUAGCCGCGUUGAGAGUCUGUUCGGACACAUUGGGACUGAGACAAGGCCCAAACUCCUACGGGAGGCUGCAGUAGGGAAUCUUCCACAAUGGACGAAAGUCUUAUGGAGCAACGCCGCGUGUGUGAUGAAGGCUUUCGGGUCGUAAAGAACUGUUGUAUGGGAAGAGAUGCUAGGCUAGGAAAUGAGCUUAGUUUGACGGUACCAUACCAGAAAGGGACGGCUAAAUACGUGCCAGCCGCCGCCGUAA
RNAcentral lists this ribosomal RNA (516 nucleotides) under uncultured bacterium. Its description in RNAcentral is "partial 16S ribosomal RNA". It matches the Rfam family "Bacterial small subunit ribosomal RNA", at positions 28 to 523 of the family's 1533-position model. The record is from RNAcentral.